GCAGAUCGCAGCCCAGAGUCUGCGGAGGCGCACCGUUUCAUCAACAGCAGGGACUGAAACCAGCCCAGGAGAAGGCAAGAUGGCACCGUUAUCGCACCCUGGGAAUCGAGGACCGGGAAGAACUUAUUGAUGCGAUUCCUCCCGUGAUCUCAGUGAUUGUAUCAGGCGAAAACGAGGAGGGCAAAAUACCGUCCAAAUGUAAACAAGGAGCAGCCGCACCAGCAGCACCAGCAGAAUGCCGCGGUAGUGCGGCAGGCCCUGGCCCCAUGGACAAAGAGAAACUCGUCAGUGGCAGUGGCCACGAACUCAGAAAGCCUGAGGACAGUCAGCAGCUCCUCUGGCUCUUCACUUUCACACUGGUGCAACUACAGGAGCUGAAGAACAUUUUUCAACUCGUUCCAUACCCGGACGUGUUAGGAUCAGAUUCAUCAUUGGACUCCUGGACCUAUCACUGCGGACCUCAAAUGUGCACCUUUUAAGCCCUUUCCUUCACUCCUGACUGAUUGAUUUGGGAUCCACUGCUAAGUCAGACUUUUGAACCAUUGUUCCAGGCAAACUUCUGUUAAAGCUGGU
This 573-nucleotide non-coding RNA is filed under the name Pan troglodytes (chimpanzee). The record is from RNAcentral. Lineage: Eukaryota; Metazoa; Chordata; Mammalia; Primates; Hominidae.